This is a long non-coding RNA of Anguilla rostrata (American eel), 576 nucleotides long. RefSeq lists it as uncharacterized. The record is from RefSeq and is a predicted model, not a curated record. The transcript is spliced from 4 exons. NCBI's taxonomy places the organism in Eukaryota, Metazoa, Chordata, Actinopteri, Anguilliformes, Anguillidae.
UCUCAGGGCCAUGAGAGAGUCAGUAUAGACUGAAUUCACAACCACGGGUGAGCUAGCCUUCAUGUGGGUGUGAAGGGAAGAAGGGAAGAAGGGAAGUAAGCUAGCUCAGCACACCACUCCAGCAUCUGAGAUACAGAACAGACCUGAUGCAGAGAUUAUGAUCAUGGGCAUGGGCUUUAUUCCACUUGGACCAGCAGACUGCAAGUGGGCAGUUGGUCCACAUUCUAAGACUCAGGACAGAGAUGUGAAAAACGGAGUAGAAGCUGAUGAGUCACAGGUGCAAACAACUGAAAAGGUGUUUCAAUAGUUAAUGAAACAUGUGGGUCUUUGUUUUUCCAAGGACUAUACUUGGAAAAGCAAAGACCGACACUAUAACUGGAACAAUUAGACUACGGCCUUUAUACUGAAUAUACUGUUGCUUCUGCAGGACUCCAUAUUCCUAUGUAGCUGACAAUGUAUUUGCAUUUGCAUGGCACAAUUCCUUGUAAUGCCUACAUUAUUUCAUCAGAUAUGCCAAAUAGUGCUGUUCUUAUGCGUACUGGGGCAGUGCAACACAAUAAAGAUAGGCCUAUUCCA